GUAUGCCAACACCGUGCUGUCUGG
RNAcentral lists this microRNA (24 nucleotides) under Cordylochernes scorpioides. Lineage: Eukaryota; Metazoa; Arthropoda; Arachnida; Pseudoscorpiones; Chernetidae. The record is from RNAcentral.